AUGUUGGCCGGGCGACGGUUGUCCCGGUUUAAGCGUGUAGGCUGGUUUUCCAGGCAAAUCCGGAAAAUCAAGGCUGAGGCGUGAUGACGAGGCACUACGGUGCUGAAGCAACAAAUGCCCUGCUUCCAGGAAAAGCCUCUAAGCAUCAGGUAACAUCAAAUCGUACCCCAAACCGACACAGGUGGUCAGGUAGAGAAUACCAAGGCGCUUGAGAGAACUCGGGUGAAGGAACUAGGCAAAAUGGUGCCGUAACUUCGGGAGAAGGCACGCUGAUAUGUAGGUGAAGUCCCUUGCGGAUGGAGCUGAAAUCAGUCGAAGAU
RNAcentral lists this ribosomal RNA (320 nucleotides) under Shigella sonnei. Its description in RNAcentral is "partial 23S ribosomal RNA". It matches the Rfam family "Bacterial large subunit ribosomal RNA", at positions 1484 to 1784 of the family's 2925-position model. The record is from RNAcentral. Lineage: Bacteria; Pseudomonadati; Pseudomonadota; Gammaproteobacteria; Enterobacterales; Enterobacteriaceae.